ACAUGUACAAGGUGAUUAAAGCCAUGGAAAUUGGAAUUUUCACUAAGUUUAAGACGCCUAGGAGGGCAAUUGUGGGAUUUAAGUGUGAGAUUAGCAUUCAAUAUAAUUGUAACCCACUACCAGUUUUCAUACCAAUCGUUUCAAUCCUCCCCUCCGUUUCCAUCCCACCCUUGUUAACCUAUGGUUCAUGAUCAGAAAGAGAGAGAGAGAUAGCGACAAAUCGGAAGCGAUUGGAGGCAAGAUCGAUUUAGAAGCAGGCCCGACCAGAAGCUAGCACGACGACAACGCUGUUGUUCAGGUUAGAACAUGCAAAUGCAAUUGACGGAUUUAUAACUGUUGUAGAUAAUCCCACAUCUCCCAAACGCCAAGAGGUCGCACUGGGACCUUUGAUGUUUGCAUCGAUGUUUAUAGAGAGGGACCAACAAUUUUUUUUGGUUUCCAUUUGAUUUGACUGAAAGUUAGUCAAAGUACUGAAAUGCUUUGGUAGUUAAGUUCAAGCAUGUUCUCUUGUUUGUUGCGAUAUUGCAGGUUGAAGGAGCUGCUAAUGAGGGUGGCAGGGGUCCUUGCAUAUGGGAUGCUUUCACACACACACAAGGAAAGAUAAAAGAUGGUAAAAACAGAGAUGUACCAGUAGAUCAAUACCAUCGUUACAAGGUUUUGUUUUUGUACAACAUUCGCAUUUACGGAUUUGCAUUCAUUUAAGGAAAAUUUGGUGCCUCGAAAGCCUUACUUCAAUAAGAUGUGAAGUCAGUUUUUUUUUGCUUAAUAUUGAGACAACAUCUUCCUAUGCUUACUUUGAGGGGCCAAUGACCAUAAAAUGUCUCGUAUCUAUCCAGGUAAUGCCUGCUGUUAAGAUUGUUACCAAAACAAUUGGUUGCAUCAUAAAUGCAGAUGGGCUGGGAACCGAAGUGAACAAGGAAGGGAUCAUGUAUUACAAUAAUCUUAUAAACUACCUUCUAGAAAAGGGCUCUUCGUUCCCCUCGAACUCGGCUGGGUAUUCACCGCCAGGCAGCGUUGCCGGAUCGCUAGCUUGGGAAGGGAGACCCCUUCCGCGUUCAAGGUCAAGGUUUCGCCACAGGAAGAAUAAACCUUGGAGAAUUAGAAGUCGCAAUGGUUAAAGACUUCGAGGUGAUAUCCACUUACACCCCCAAAAAAUAAAAAACCGGCGUUGCAUUUUACAAACCGGUAUCCAUACCCGACGGGUUCAUCACCUUCAGUCACUAUGGUCAGCUAACCAACCAACACCAGUUCAUCACGUGCGGGUUACCCACUAGAUGCAGAUGAUUAACAAAGCAUUUUACAGGCUGACUUGGCCUUAGCUGACGAAUGCAGUGUGAGCGAUUAUUGUAGGACGACAGCUUUAACUGUUUUGAUCGUGGGAAGACAUAUAAUAAUAGCCAAUGCUGGUGACUCUCGUGCGGUCCUAUGUAAGAACAGGUCUGCAAGACCACAAGGGGUCGACUUGUUUACAAGAAAAGGAAAGAUGCGAGCGGUUAGGUGGUUACUUUGAUGAAGCCGGGUACCUGAACGGUCAACUAAGUGUGACCCGUGCGAUUGGAGACUGGCACAUGAAGAAGGAGAAGUUGGUGAUUGCUGAACCGGAUGUGAGACAAAUGGUGUUGACGGAUAAUGAUGAGUUUACUGGUGGUAAAUUGUGUUUUCAUUAAUUAACAUGUAGUGGAAGUGAGCCUGAUGUAGAGGAAGCAGUGCGAUUAAUAUGUGAAAUUGGUUGAGUUACGGUGUUGGCUCAUCCAUGGGCUUUGGAAAAUCCAGUUGUUAUCAUUGGUUGAUUAAGUGAAGCUGGCUUGCACGGAUUAGAGGUUUACAGAAGUGAUGGUGAAUUCAGUAGUUGCUUUCCGACCAGAUCUUGGCAUGUCGCAAACUUUGGGACCUUUAUGAUUUCUAUCGCAAACCGCGAUCGCUAAGUAGUGACCAGUGAUGUUAAUAAGAGCAUCAAAAGCGAGGGCAUCCAUAACCCCAUCUCCACUCAUCGGACCAACAAAUUCCUGACCACCUUGUUAUGGGAGUUUGACCCACCUCGUCCAAUUUGUUUCACCGGACUAGUCUGGUCUGACUUGGUGGGCCCCACACACUCACAAACCUUUUUUUUUGUUUUAAUGUAAAAAGUAGGAUGUAAUGGGGUUUGGAAUGAUUGUGGUUUGAAAUGAUGUGGUAUGCUGACUAGGCGAUCCAGAUUUUGGACUUUGACCACGGUUGGAGAUGCUCUAACACUGAUUUUUCUCAUGACUUUCUAUGAUUUCCUUUUCAUACGCAAUUUCCUACGAUAGGGUAGGGAUGAAAGGCCGGUGAGAUAGUUUGGAAUAUUAAAUAGAAGACAAUUAUGCUCGACCGGUGGAUCGAAUUGAUGAACCUUCCGAACUUUCUUUUAUCCAGGGUGUGAUACCCACAACUUUGCCAAUUCGAGUGCGAAUUGCAUUACCUACUUUAUCCUUCGUAGUGAUUUGAGACUUUCUAGUCAAGGCCAGACAAAACCAAAGAUUGCAGCUAGACAUCCACCACAGCAUUCCUAUGUUUUUCUCGACUACAGGUUUAUAACUCCUAUACCAAACCAAAAUAGCUAGCGGAUAAUUGCCCCGAA
RNA transcript from Helianthus annuus (common sunflower), 2599 nucleotides. It is a transcript of the gene named beta-glucosidase 7-like, with no coding region annotated. The transcript has 10 exons. The record is from RefSeq and is a predicted model, not a curated record. NCBI's taxonomy places the organism in Eukaryota, Viridiplantae, Streptophyta, Magnoliopsida, Asterales, Asteraceae.